Molecule: transfer RNA, 73 nt
Filed under: Agrocybe pediades
Lineage: Eukaryota; Fungi; Basidiomycota; Agaricomycetes; Agaricales; Agrocybaceae
Rfam family: tRNA
About the family: Transfer RNA (tRNA) molecules are approximately 80 nucleotides in length. Their secondary structure includes four short double-helical elements and three loops (D, anti-codon, and T loops). Further hydrogen bonds mediate the characteristic L-shaped molecular structure. tRNAs have two regions of fundamental functional importance: the anti-codon, which is responsible for specific mRNA codon recognition, and the 3' end, to which the tRNAs corresponding amino acid is attached (by aminoacyl-tRNA synthetases). tRNAs cope with the degeneracy of the genetic code in two manners: having more than one tRNA (with a specific anti-codon) for a particular amino acid; and 'wobble' base-pairing, i.e. permitting non-standard base-pairing at the 3rd anti-codon position.
Source: Rfam by way of RNAcentral
UCCUCCUUGGCUCAGUUGGUAGAGCGUGUCACUAGUAAUGACAAGGUCAGUCGUUCAAAUCGGCUAGGAGGAA